GAUGAACGCUAGCGGGAGGCUUAACACAUGCAAGUCGAGGGGCAGCACGUCUUCGGAUGGUGGCGACCGGCGCACGGGUGCGUAACGCGUAUGCAACCUACCCUAUGCUGGGGGAUAGCCCGGGGAAACCCGGAUUAAUAUCUCAUAGGACAUUAGUAUCGCCUGGUACAGAUGUUAAAGAUUUAUCGGCAUAAGAUGGGCAUGCGUCUGAUUAGCUGGUUGGUAGGGUAACGGCCUACCAAGGCGACGAUCAGUAGGGGUUCUGAGAGGAACAACCCCCACACUGGUACUGAGACACGGACCAGACUCCUACGGGAGGCAG
This 322-nucleotide ribosomal RNA is filed under the name uncultured Bacteroidota bacterium. RNAcentral describes it as "bacterial SSU rRNA". It matches the Rfam family "Bacterial small subunit ribosomal RNA", at positions 28 to 351 of the family's 1533-position model. Lineage: Bacteria; Pseudomonadati; Bacteroidota. The record is from RNAcentral.